RNAcentral lists this long non-coding RNA (1324 nucleotides) under Cyanistes caeruleus (blue tit). Its description in RNAcentral is "lncRNA (ENSCCEG00000010187.1)". The record is from RNAcentral. Lineage: Eukaryota; Metazoa; Chordata; Aves; Passeriformes; Paridae.
UUUUUCUGUAAUAAGCUUGCUCUCUCUGCUUCUAGAGUGCACCAAUCAUUAUAUUUAUCACUAAUAUGUGCUGGAGUUGAACAUAAUUUCUUUAUUUUCAGCCAUUCUCAGUUGUGCUGGAGCUGGCCUGGUCUGCAGCUAGACUUCUAAGCCUCACUCCUUGUAAAUGGAAAGGAACCUUAAACACAGCUCUAGAUAUGAACGUUCUCCAUUGCUCUUCCCCAACCCAUUUUCCUUCAUGCAAAAGCAUUUUUUUUGAGCUUAUUGUUGGUUUAUGUCUGUGAUAUUUGGCUGCAAUUAAGAUCUUUGGGAUUUAUUACUUGAGAGAAGAGUUUAAUGCCACUAAAGUUGUUUUCUCCAUGCCAAGAUUUCUCUCAAAAGCUCUUGUAAAUCUUAGCAGCUCUGGUGGUAUCAGGCCAGGGACUGACAAGACCGAAAUUUUGGCAGUUUCAUGUCGUUGUGCCAUGUACAAGCUCUUGGUGUGUCUCUGCAUCAUCCAUUAGCAUUUACCCCCUGAUCCUGCCCAUUUUUCCACCUUGUUUUCUUUUUGUGGGAUAUUGGUCUCUGAUGCUGCAUUCCUGUCUCCAUGCAGGAUUGUUGCUGGCUGGUCCCAGUGCAGAAGUUGUAGCUGACCUGUAAUAGGUGACAGCUGAAGAAAUGGACUGAUGGUCCCCAGUGAGAAAUACUUCUGUAGAGAAGACAGAGGGGAAAACAUGAACAAUGGACUUCUCCUGCCCUAAUUGCCAGUACGGCAGGUUUUGAUGAAAAUACACAGUCAGAGAAUGAAGCUUUAUAAACAUGUCUUCUUCCUUCUAAUGAUAGGCAUGGGACAAACUGGAUGGUACUUUUAUAACGUUUUAUUGGCAUGAUUUUGAACUGGUGUGUUAUUUAUGGGACCAUCCUAGACAGAAUGCAGCAAACCCUCUGCAUCUUGUUUCUGUGUGAGGUUCACCUUGAAAUAGGUCUCUUCCACAGAGAGCAGGUCCUCUGCCUUUUUAAGAACAUCUCGAGGCCUCCUUGCUGCUGUUUGUUUUCCUUCAUUGAAGGUUGGGCCAAGAAGAUGAAAACUUGUAGCAUGAAUUGCUCAACCAGUUCUAAACUUUAACUUUACCUCAGCCAGGAAUUUCUGCAGAUUUCUUUUGGUAAGCAAUUUGGUCUGAGGAAAAUUUUGAAUGAAGAACAUUGCAACCAGAAGAUAAAUGGCAAUCAAUACUUGUUUCAACAUAACAUGUGCCUGAAAUCGUACUUACCUAUGCACGAGCACAACAAUGGUCAAAAUUCUGACAUAAAUAAAGAUCUUUUAGGCUUCUGAUAGUGAGUUUCU